CCCUUAGAUGUUCUGGGCUACACACGUGCUACACUGGCAGGUUCAGCGAGCUUCAUGCCCUGAUCUGAAAGGAAUGGGAAAUCUUUUCAAAACCUGCCGUGCUUGGGAUAGAUGUUUGCAAUUAUUCAUCUUCAACGAGGAUUGCCUUGUAAGCGCACGUCAUCAGCGUGCAUUGAAUACGACCCUGUAUUCUGUACACACCGCCCGUCGCUCCUACCGAUUGAAGUUUUCGGUGAGUUGACAGGAGGAUUUUUUUGAAACUGGUUCGCCAGUGGAUUUUAGAUCCAAAUGCCAACGAAUCGAUGGCUUUAGAGGAAGGAGAAGUCGUAACA
This 332-nucleotide ribosomal RNA is filed under the name uncultured eukaryote. Its description in RNAcentral is "partial 18S ribosomal RNA". It matches the Rfam family "Eukaryotic small subunit ribosomal RNA", at positions 1470 to 1796 of the family's 1831-position model. The record is from RNAcentral.